This 407-nucleotide ribosomal RNA is filed under the name uncultured bacterium. RNAcentral's name for it is "partial 16S ribosomal RNA". It matches the Rfam family "Bacterial small subunit ribosomal RNA", at positions 30 to 526 of the family's 1533-position model. The record is from RNAcentral.
AUUGAACGCUGGCGGCAGGCCUAACACAUGCAAGUCGAGCGGAGCGGCGGACGGGUGAGUAAUGCCUAGGAAUCUGCCUGGUAGUGGGGGAUAACGUCCGGAAAGGGGAGCUAAUACCGCAUACUAUCAGAUGAGCCUAGGUCGGAUUAGCUAGUUGGUGGGGUAAAGGCCUACAAAGGCGACGCGCCGUAACUGGGCUUGGAGUAUGAUCAGUCCCACUGGAACUGGGACACGGUCCAGACUCCUACGGGAGGCAGCAGUGGGGAAGAGUGGACAAUGGGCGAAAGCCUGAUCUAGCCAUGCCGCGUGUGUGAAGAAGGUCUUCGGAUUGUAAAGCACUUUAAGUUGGGAGGCGUUACCAACAGAAUAAGCACCGGCUAACUUCGUGCCAGCAGCCGCGGUAAUUC